GAAGUUCCCUGGCAGGGACAAUACCAGGAUCACUGAGGUGGUCUUCCCAGGGUCAGACACUUCCACUGCACUGAGGAGGUGGUGAUUUCUGCGAUUUCCCCAAAUGUGGGUAACUAAAUUGCUUAAUUUCUGGUAGCGAGGGACUGUGCUCUCAUACACCCCUG
Molecule: small nuclear RNA, 164 nt
Organism: Talpa occidentalis (Iberian mole)
Lineage: Eukaryota; Metazoa; Chordata; Mammalia; Eulipotyphla; Talpidae
Product: U1 spliceosomal RNA
Exons: 1
Source: RefSeq, a predicted model, not a curated record